Uranotaenia lowii is the source of this 525-nucleotide long non-coding RNA. RefSeq lists it as uncharacterized. Lineage: Eukaryota; Metazoa; Arthropoda; Insecta; Diptera; Culicidae. The record is from RefSeq and is a predicted model, not a curated record. The transcript is spliced from 2 exons.
CCACAAUCGAUUGGAGCUUCGAAAUCAAAUGUUUUCAAAUCUUUGUCUUCACAAUUUGGACGAAGAGCUGGAAGCGGAACCAGUGGGAUGGGCCUAGUAGAAUUGUGAAGAAAUCAUCGGCUUGUUUGCUCAAAAUAACACCCACUUCUCAGAAAAUGAUGAUACUGGUGAAAACCAAAUCUUUGCCAAGGCAGUGACUAUUCGAGACGACGAUGACGAAGAUGCAUUCAAAUCUUGUCAUGACAACGUGCAUCCACGAUUUCGAAGCGUACCCUGCCGAUCUCGUUGCCCCUUGCGAACGCAUAGGCACUGGCGAAACGCUAAAGUCGGUGUCGUUCCCCGAAGAGGAUGAAGUACUAAAAAUUGAUCCAAAUUCGGACGAAAUGUUGUCACCAAACAAACCGUCGGGAGACAAGGCUAAUCCUCGACCACAAUUCCACCACCGGCGUGCACGAAACUAAUGAUCAGAAGUAACAAAGCCAGUUUAAAAAUGUGUGUCCGAUAAUAAAGCCUUUAGAAAUUUAA